RNAcentral lists this unclassified non-coding RNA (243 nucleotides) under Hevea brasiliensis (rubber tree). The record is from RNAcentral. Lineage: Eukaryota; Viridiplantae; Streptophyta; Magnoliopsida; Malpighiales; Euphorbiaceae.
UGAAUCUGAGGAGGCUGCCAAGGCGUUUUAUAACUCCUACGCACGCCGUGUUGGCUUCAGCACCCGCGUCAGCUCCUCCCGUCGGUCCAGGAAGGAUGGAGCCAUCAUUCAGAGGUCGUUUGUCUGUGCCAAAGAAGGAUUCCGCAAUUUGAAUGAGAAACGUACCAAGGAUAGAGAAAUUAAGCGACCGCGUACUGUCACCCGGGUUGGCUGCAAGGCCGCUCUCUCUGUCAAGAUACAGGA